Molecule: unclassified non-coding RNA, 212 nt
Filed under: plant metagenome
Description: partial contains small subunit ribosomal RNA, internal transcribed spacer 1, and 5.8S ribosomal RNA
Source: RNAcentral
UUUCCGUAGGUGAACCUGCGGAAGGAUCAUUCAUAAUAAGUGUUUUAUGGCACUUUUUUAAAUCCAUAUCCACCUUGUGUGCAAUGUCAGGGUUGAUUUUUCUCUCGAGAGGAUCAGCCCCAAACGUCAACUAUAUCUCAACUCUUUGUCUGAAAAAUAUUAUGAAUAAACAAUUCAAAAUACAACUUUCAACAACGGAUCUCUUGGCUCUC